RNAcentral lists this transfer RNA (68 nucleotides) under Tamias amoenus luteiventris. RNAcentral describes it as "tRNA-Pro". It matches the Rfam family "tRNA". Rfam says of the family: Transfer RNA (tRNA) molecules are approximately 80 nucleotides in length. Their secondary structure includes four short double-helical elements and three loops (D, anti-codon, and T loops). Further hydrogen bonds mediate the characteristic L-shaped molecular structure. tRNAs have two regions of fundamental functional importance: the anti-codon, which is responsible for specific mRNA codon recognition, and the 3' end, to which the tRNAs corresponding amino acid is attached (by aminoacyl-tRNA synthetases). tRNAs cope with the degeneracy of the genetic code in two manners: having more than one tRNA (with a specific anti-codon) for a particular amino acid; and 'wobble' base-pairing, i.e. permitting non-standard base-pairing at the 3rd anti-codon position. The record is from RNAcentral. Lineage: Eukaryota; Metazoa; Chordata; Mammalia; Rodentia; Sciuridae.
CAGGGAAUAGUUUAAGAUAGAAUAUCAGCUUUGGGAGUUGAGGGUAAGAUAUAGUAUCUUUUCCCUGA